CCUACGGGUGGCAGCAGUGGGGAAUUUUGGACAAUGGGCGCAAGCCUGAUCCAGCUAUUCCGCGUGUGGGAAGACGGCCUUCGGGUUGUAAACCACUUUUGUAGAGAACGAAAAUGCUAUUGAUAAUACCGAUAGAUGAUGACGGUACUCUAAGAAUAAGCACCGGCUAACUACGUGCCAGCAGCCGCGGUAAUACGUAGGGUGCGAGCGUUAAUCGGAAUUACUGGGCGUAAAGGGUGUGCAGGCGGUUUUGCAAGAUGGAUGUGAAAGCCCCGGGCUUAACCUGGGAAAGCCAUACAUGACUGCAAGACUAGAGUGCGUCAGAGGGGGGUGGAAUUCCAAGUGUAGCAGUGAAAUGCGUAGAUAUUUGGAAGAACACCGAUGGCGAAGGCAGCCCCCUGGGACGCAACUGACGCUCAUACACGAAAGCGUGGGGAGCAAACAGGAUUAGAUACCCGGGUAGUC
Molecule: ribosomal RNA, 465 nt
Filed under: uncultured bacterium
Lineage: Bacteria
Description: partial 16S ribosomal RNA
Rfam family: Bacterial small subunit ribosomal RNA
Source: RNAcentral